RNAcentral lists this long non-coding RNA (469 nucleotides) under Zostera marina. RNAcentral's name for it is "long non-coding RNA (ZMAR_LNC000696)". Lineage: Eukaryota; Viridiplantae; Streptophyta; Magnoliopsida; Alismatales; Zosteraceae. The record is from RNAcentral.
UGGCCAAAGAGAGCGGCUUUUUGAUCUGCAGACCGAGGAUGAAUUUUCUGAGGAGGAAGAAGAUUUAAUACAAUAUGAGAGAAGAAGAAAUAGGGACCGUCGAGACUAUGUUAGAAGGGGAGCAUUGCAAAGGUAUGAACAAUACAAUAGAGGAAAUCAAAGAAAUGAAUUUGGAAAUUAUAGACUAAGAAUGGAAUUACCAGAAUUCAAUGGGCAAUUACAUAUAGAAGAAUUUCUGGAUUGGAUUUCAGAAGUGGAAAGAUUCUUUGAUUGCAUGGAAAUUCCAGAUGCAAAAAAAGUUAAAUUAGUAGCACUGAAAUUUAAAAGUGGAGCAGCUGCAUGGUGGGAUCAGACCAUAGUUCGAAAAAGCGGAAAGCGCUCCCAAUUUCCAGGGAGCGCUUUUUUAGCUUUAACCGCUUUAGCGUCGCUUAAAGCGGUUAAAGCGGUUUAGCUAUAUAUAACCCUAAAU